This is a long non-coding RNA of Zea mays, 2561 nucleotides long. RefSeq lists it as uncharacterized. The record is from RefSeq and is a predicted model, not a curated record. Lineage: Eukaryota; Viridiplantae; Streptophyta; Magnoliopsida; Poales; Poaceae. The transcript has 9 exons.
CAGUGGAUUCUGGCUAGCCAUUUUUCAUAUUUGAUUUUAUCUGAACAGAGACUUGAACUCGCUAUCAACUUUCAGUAGACCUGCUAAGGAGCGAUCUCCGUCCAAUUAUCAGCCAGUGAAUUUAUGCCCUGGAAGAGCAUGGAGAGAAUUUGGCAGUGUCGAGUGAUACCUUUGUGAGAAUCUUGGUAUGAUCUGAUUGUCUGAUCUCUUCUUCAGUACCAUGAAUAGAGAUAGUCAAGAAAUUAGACUAUUUCAAGUUCAGCGAGAGGGACUAUAUGGCACUGGAGGCGUCUUUCUUAGAGAGGGAGGAAGAUCAGCUUGCGUAUUGGUGAAGAGAGGAUCCUUGGUUGAAAGUGAUGUUUCUCCAUAUCUUUAUAAGGUUAAGGAAGAGCAGUUGGGGUUCUUGUGAAACGUAGAUUGUAUGAGGUCUAUAAAUUUUUAUGCUCUAUCAUUACUUGAAUGAAUCAUGUAUCACUGGCAAGCAACUUCAGCUCAUACUCUGUAGGAAUUCUAAUUCACAUUGCAUUCUAUUUAAUUGUUUGUUUUAUGUUCCGUUCACACGACCAUGAUUUUUGUUUGCACAAAUCACUAUAUAUAUCCUCGUUGAAUUAAAAGUCCAGCUUUGUGUCAUAAGCAUAUUGUCUAUUUCCCCUUUUGGCUAUUGCAAAUAGCAAGUAUAGUUUGUUGUUUAAAUGUUAGUCUAUUCUGUUUCAAGAAAAAAAGAAUGCGCCAUCGCUGGGGAUGGGUACGAUGAUCAAGAUCGUCGAACGACGAAGGGCACCGAGGUGUUCGUCAGCGGGCUGCCAAUGUCGACCACGGAAAGCAUGCUCCUCUCUCAUCUCCACACCGUGCAGUAGCUGCUGCCCGUAGCAUGUAAUGCAAUGGAAUAAGUUAUCAAGGCAACUAACACUGAACAUAGUUCUUGGGCUCCUUGGCAGCGUCGAGGCAUGGUAUCUGCCCACACCAUUGUCAGGGCCUCCUGCGGGUACCCAUGCUCGACCUACUUCAUCGAAGGUAAAAUUUUGACUAUUUGGGAUCUCCAUUUCAUUAUUCAGAUAUGCUCAAUUCUGAACUAGAACAGAAGCAUAAUAACUUUUAGAAACCAGAACAAUUUCAAGACAUUUCAUUGUUCUACUUUUUUCUAUAGCACCAGCUUAUUGAGACUUCUGUCUUAGAUGUGGUAUGGACAAAUAUACAUGCCACUUUCCAGAUGAAGUGAAGAGACCAAAUGUGGAUGUCAAUCAAUCUCUAGAUGAAGGAAUGAAAGGAAGGAGCUAAGUUAUUGCACUGGAUGUACGGGGUCUAGAAAAGGUGUCACUUUGAUGCCAUUUAUUAGUGCUGUUGUACAAAAGAAAAGGUUGAAUUGAUGAAUUCAUGGGCAACCUUAUAAAAUAAAACUAUAUUGAAUUCAUGUGAUCUUGUGAUUUUAUGUAAGACUAUCCUAUAAAUAAAAACUAUGAUUUCACUGUCUUCUCUAUGUUGUAGCUAGCAGUGCAAGCAUAGAACCUAUGAAACAUGGAUACUUGGUUACAAAAUUCAACUUUCAGUCAAGUUUUGUUCAACAAGGGUCUGAUUGAGACUUCCAUGAAACUGAUCGAUUUGUCGUUGCUGUCAUGUAUGGGAACUUAUGGUUUAGAAGCAGCUAAGUUUUCAACAUGUUACAUGGUAGGGAAUGUAUUUGCUAACACUAUUUGCUAGCACUACAAGUUCCGUAUGCCCUAUGUGACAGAUGGAAAGAUUGAAUGAAGGGUUGUCAUUAUUUGAUGCAAUACUGAUUGUUCCAAUGUUUCAAAUUGUUUGGACCUUCUUCUCUAUUUGUACAGGAUUUGUUUACUUUCAAGAAUAUCAAGUAUUUGAUACGCUCAGGAUAAUUAUGUGUGUGUUAGGCAUGACAUUUGUCUUUGUUGGGAUCUCCUUGCUAGCACCCGAUGACAGUAAGGCUGAUAGGAAAGAUGGUUCAAGCACCUCCGAGGACUCCAUAAUUGACAUAGACAGAAAUGGAAAGAUGCCGAUGGAGGAGACAGACACAGAUGAUAGCAUCUCCUUUGUUACUUCUGUAAAAGUAAGUGCAAAACAUGUACUUUCAAAGGCAAAGUCUGCAUGCUCCAUGUCCCUUGGCCUUGGGGAGAGCACCAUAAGCGCUUCAUCGGUGCUUGUCAUGCUUAUGGUCUCGUCAAGAACAACCGGCUUCAGAGGAAUCAGAAAUGACCGUCCAAAGUACGCCCCUUUAAGAACCACUGAUUGGAGUAACCUAUAGCCGAUGGUAAUAUAUAGGUACACAAGAAAGGUCUUUGUUUUUUAUGUUGCCUAGCGAAUGGCAGUGAAGUUUUUUUGUUGCUUCCAAAGGCACAACUGUUUGUUGUGAUCGUAGCUAGCUAUAACACGAGUGUAUAGUUCACCGUUGUACCCUUCAAAACACUGUCCAUACCAAGCUGCAUAUACAUGUGUAAGUUUUAGAAUACAACAAAUUUUUGGAAGAUUAAGAUUAGAUGGAGUAGCAUUUGUUAGCUUUUAGCUUGUUGCUACUGAAAUAUGAGCUGAAUUUGGGCUAUUAUUUUUGU